Molecule: long non-coding RNA, 339 nt
Organism: Xenopus tropicalis (tropical clawed frog)
Lineage: Eukaryota; Metazoa; Chordata; Amphibia; Anura; Pipidae
Exons: 2
Source: RefSeq, a predicted model, not a curated record
UGAAUGUCAGGGUGCUGAUUGGCUGCUUCUGAAAUAGUGCUCUAAAUUAUCACCGCCAUGAAAAGGAAUACAGACUCUUUGUAUGCAAGGGGGAAAAGUGUGUCAGAAGAGUCCCUUCAUUCCAAAUAUGAAGAAGAUCGAAUUUUUCAGGAAAUUGAACCAUGUCCAGUAAGGAGACUUUCUUGCAGAGCCAUCCAUCUUCCACCUCUGGCUUUCAGGCUUGCAGAACAAACAGAACUGGAAAGGAAAUCAGAUUCAGAGAAUCCACAGAGGCCGAUCUCUUUAGCCCUGAGGAUCCCCCCACUAAUUGCAAUCACAGCUGCCGAGAACACCAGGUAG